CCGCGGCUGUGUUCUUUGAUUUGGAGAAGACUUACGACACCUGUUGGAGGGCGGGCAUACUCCGCACCGUGCAUACAUGGAGCUUUCGCGGUCGCCUCCCUCUUUUUAUUCGUUCCUUUUUAAUGGAUCGACAGUUCAGGGUACGUGUGGGUUCUGUCCUGUCAGACACCUUUCGCCAGGAAAAUGGGGUGCCACAGGGCUCCGUUAUGAGCGUCGCUCUCUUGGCCAUAGCGAUCAAUCCAAUAAUGGUUUGCCUCCCAGAUGAUGUUCCAGGCUCCCUUUUCGUGGACGAUUUUACCAUCUAUUGCAGCGCGCAGCGUACAUGUUUCCUAGAACGCUCUCUUCAGCGUUCUCUUGACCGUCUUUACUCCUGGAGUGUCGCCAGUGGCUUCCGUUUUUCUGCCGAGAAAACGGUCUGUAUUAACUUCUGGCACUACAAAGAGUUUCUCCCACCGUCCUUACGACUCGGCCCUGUUGCUCUCCCAUUCGUGGAGACAACAAAAUUUUUAGGUCUUACAUUUGACAGGAAACUUAGUUGGUCUCCACAUGUGUCAUAUUUGGCUGCCUGUUGUACCCGUUCUCUAAAUGUCCUCAGUGUUCUCAGUGGCACGUCGUGGGGAGCGGAUCGAACCAUCCUACUUCGCCUAUAUCGGUCGAUCGUCCGCUCCAAGCUGGAUUAUGGGUGCUUUGUAUACUCCUCUGCACGGCCGUCCAUCUUAUGCCGCCUCAACUCCAUACAACAUCGGGGUUUACGGCUUGCGAUCGGAGUGUUUUAUACUAGUCCCGUCGAGAGUCUUCAUGCUGAAGUCGGUGAAUUGCCACUCACCUACCGGCGCGAUGUGCUGCUUUGUCGUUACGCCUGUCGGCUUCUGUCAAUGCCCGACCACCCAUCGUAUCUUUCCUUUUAUGACGACUCUCUCGACCGUCAAUACGGGUUGUAUGUCUCUGCCCUGCUACCCCCUGGAGUUCGCUUUCGUCGCCUCCUUCAACACCUUGAUUUUUCACUCCGUGCAACCUUUAGAGUGGGCGAGAGCCACAUGCCACCUUGGCUCCAGGCUCAGGUUCGCGUUCACCUUGACCUCUGCUUGCUCCCAAAGGAGGUUACCCCCGGUUCAGUAUACCACUCCCGUUUUGUCGAACUUCGUUCGAAGUUCAUUAAUAUGACCUUCAUUUAUACAGAUGGCUCUAAGACCAAUGACGGGGUUGGGUGUUCUUUUAUUGUCGGUGCACAAAGUUUCAAAUACCGGCUACAUGGCCAUUGUUCGGUCUUCACAGCUGAGCUCUUUGCCCUCUACCAGGCUGUUCUUUACGUCUGCCGCCACCGACAUUCUGCUUAUGUCAUCUGCUCAGAUUCUCUGAGUGCCAUCCAGAGCCUCAGUAAUCUGUAUCCAGUUCACCCUUUCGUGCACCGGAUCCAACGCUGUCUUCAGCAGCUGGUGGACGACAGGUCUCCAUUUAGCUUUAUGUGGGUUCCUGGCCAUGUCGGUAUCGCUGGGAACGAAGCUGCAGAUGCCACGGCCAAGGCUCCGGUCCUCCAGCCUCGGACGGCUUCUUGUUGUGUCCCUUCAUCAGAUUGUAGCACGAUCAUUUGGUGGCGCAUUUUAUUGUUGUGGCAUGCCGAUUGUGCUGCACUUAGGGACAACAAGCUUCGAGCCUUGAAACCUCUUCCCGUAGCUUGGACGUCCUCACGUCCUUCUCGGCGGGAGGAGGUCGUUUUGGCCCGGCUAUGAAUUGGACACUGCUAGUUCAGCCAUCGCCAUCUGCUGACGGCAGCGCCGGCGCCGUUCUGUCCAUGUGGGCAAUUGCUAACGGUCCGCCACAUUUUAACGUCCUGUCCGGAUUUUACUACGCUGCUUCUUGAUCUUGGCCUGCCAUGUACUCUGGAUGCCAUUUUAGCGGAUGACCCAGGAGCUGCUGCUCGUGUUCUUCGUUUUAUUAACUUGACACACCUGUCUAAAGACGUUUGAUUAUGCUGUAGUUUUUUAAUCCUAUGUCUGUUAAUACGUCUUUUAUAGUGUUGUCCCUUUUAGUUGCUGUUUUAACCUUGUGUCUCGCGGUACAUUCCUAAAUUAGUCAGGGCGCUAAUGACCAUUGUAGUUGUGCGCCCUAAAACCACAAAAAAAAAAAAACUAAUACUGAUUUUAUUCAUCUUUUCAGUGGUACGAGGAUUACUUUGGGGCAAUUCUCCUCUCUCUCUCUUUUUAAAAAACUAAUUAAUUAAUUAAAAACAGAGUUAAGCAUUUCAGCUUUUGCUUUCCUAACCUCAAUUUCAGUUUUUGUCUCAUUUCUUAAGGACUGGAGACUAAUUUUGAUGCUACUAAUAGUCUUUACGUACGCCCAGAAUUUCUUUGGGCUAGUCAUUGAAGGCAUCACGCAUUGCUCUCUUAACAGCCAAACGUGUUUCAUUCAGCAUCUGUUUAUACAGGGUACAUUCCGAAAGUAAUGCAAUUGAAUUUCCCGCGCCGCUCCUAGUAGUCGGAGUGGGAGCGGGCCACAUGGAGUAGGUGGGGGGGACGCUAAGCUUUGCCGCGAAACCGGUUUCAGUGCUCUCCGAGCUGUGGAAGCGGCAGGACGUCUGUUAUUGUAAACCUCUGCGCGCCGACCGUGUCACGGAAAAAAUGGGAUCGAGCAACGUUACGCGAUUAAGUUUUGUGCUAAACUGAACAAAUCUUUUGAGGAGACUAACAAAAUGAUUCGUGAGGCUUACGGGGACUCUGCUCUGUCCUACUCACAAGUGGAGGUGGUUAAAGGCCUUUAAGCCCAAAAAGGUAAGAAUGAGCAAAUCAAAAGUGAAAACAAUGCUCAUUGUCUUUUUCGACAGCAAAGGAGUGGUCCAUAAGGAGUUUGUUCCUCAAGGACAGACAGGUAACGCUGCCUACUACGUGGAUGUGCUGGAAAGACUCUGCAAAAGGGUCGUCAGGACGAGAAAGGACAUCUCCGCUACCUGGCAACUCCAUCACGACAACGCGCCUUGCCACAACGCGCUACGAGUCCGCGAGUUCCUGGCCAAACACCAGGUGCCAACGCUGCCCCCCCCCCCCCCUAUGGUCCUGACCUCGCCCCAGCUGACUUCUUUUUGUUUCCUAGGAUUAAGUCAGCCCUGAAAGGAACCCGUUUUUCGUCCAUAGACGAGAUCCAAUCUGCCGUGACGAAGACCUUGCGAGAGGUCCCAGAAGACGCCAUCCAGGGCGCGUACCGGUCAUGGCAGAGUCGCUGGAAAAAAUGUGUAGAGGCCCAAGGACAGUACUUUGAAGAAUUUUAAGUGUUUGUGCAAAUCUGUUCAAUAAAUUACUUUAAAAAAAAUAAUUGCAUUACUUUUGGAACGCACCCUGUAGUCCUAUGCUUUGUUUUACACCUCUGCUUCUUUAGAAGUUUCUUUACUGUGAGUGUAUACGAUGGAGGAUCGCGCGUAUUAUGAACUGUUCUACUGGGUACAUAUCUAUCCAGUGUGUGGUAAACUAUUCUUUUAAACUUGCCUCAUAGUUCCUCUACAUGCUCCUUGCCUAUGCUGAAAGUUUCAAGCUCCUCAUUGAGAUAUGACACUACUGAGUUUUUAUGUAGUUUGCCAUACAUGUAUAUCUUUCUGCUUGUUUCAGUUGUCCUUUGUACUUUGGUAAUCGUUGUUGCCACAACCGCGUCAUGGUCACUGAUACCAGUUUCGUUGUGGACAUCCUCAAAGAUGUCAGGUGUGUUUGUUGCCAUUGGAGCUAAUAUAAUUCCAUCAGAAGUGGAGUUCUGAACUAUCUUUUGAGGUGGUGUUCAGAGUAGGCAUUUGGUAAAGUUUCACUGGAUGUCUUGUCACGCCCGCCACUAAGAAAAUUCUAAUUUCUCCAGUGGAUUGUUAGAUGAUAGGUCUCCAUCAAUGACUUCAGUAUGAUUCAGGAACGUACAUACAAGUGAGCUGUGGUUUUGUGCAAAGUUUUUGGUUACAUCAGGAGACGAGUGUGGUGGGUGAUAGAAGGAUCCGGUUACCAGUUUAUGCCCAUCCCUGAUACUGAGCCUUGCCCAAAAAAUGUCACAUGCAGCUUGAAUUUUUGUCUCGAUGGAUUUGACCUUCUUGUCUACUGCGACAACUACACCCUCUUCAUUCUGCAUUAGCGUAUCCUUUCAAUAUACGCUUACCUUUUCCCAAAACAUCUCAUUGCUGUCAAUUUCAUGUUUCAACCCGGUUUCUAUACCUAGUCUUAUGUGAGUGUCAUUGCUUUUCAAGAGCACUUCAAACUCUGGCACUUUGUUGCGAAUGCUUUGGCAGUUAGCUACUAAAAAUUUUAAUACAUCAUACAUUGGAGGCAUUUCUUUUGCUCUUACACUGAUACUUCUGGGUUUCCUACAGAUAUCGUUAUCUGUGUUGAAUGGAGAGUCACAGGCAGCUACCUGGGUAGCAGCCUAUGUUGUUUAUUUCACACUUGGAUCAUUUAGGGGGACCAUACAGUUCUCAACCCUAUGGCACAGGAAGUAUCAGCUUAGCUCGUCACAGGACCUUCAAAGUCUGGUUCAGUCUUUCCACACAACUCAGAACCAAAGGGCCAUGAUUAGUUCUGGGGACAAUGCUGCAAUUUAUGAGCUUCGUUGAAACUCCUUGUGUAAGGGUGGUCUUCUCAGCCUUCAAUGCCAGUCGCUGGAAUGAUCGAAGUAUGACCUUUGAGCCUGGGCGAUAGGCAUCAUUUGUCCCAAUAUGUGGCACAAUCUGCAGUUGGUUGCACCUUAUUGCCUCAGUGACUGCUGGAAUCGCCUCAUCAACGUCUUGAAUGAGGCCAGCAGGCAUACACACUGAGUGCACCUGAUGUCUUGUCCCUUGCUGCCAUUUCUCUAAGGGAUGCCAUCAUUCACUGUCCAUUAGAAUUGACGACAAUUAAUAGACCCCUGCCCUUUUUUGUAUGUCUCCUCCAGACACCAGACAAAACAGGUGAAAUGACCCCCACUGGCUUAGUUUCAGAUUCAGUGAAUGACAGUGCCUCAGAUUUGUUGGUUAGAGGAUCGGUACGACACCCUGAACCCCCCUGGUCCCCUGCCGACUUGUACAGAACACCUAGAUCUACCAUUGAAACGCCACUCACAGUCAAGCGUAUGAGUACUGACAGAUCCUAUUUUCUGCAGAGGAGACAGGAUACACACAAGAGGGUAAUACUUUAGGUACUGUUGGUUCCGGCACCACAGAUACAGGACUCUAGGGAGCUCAAUACACACAUUCUCAGCAGCUGCCAAUCAUUUGACAGUAGUGAGGAAAAAUUCCAACUGCUUACAAACAUCAGGCAACUCGCCCCUUGCGAGAGCAGCAUUGACAGUGGGGCUGCAUUUUGGCUGGUGCAAGGUAUUGCAGAACAGUGAACAAGUAACUUUAAACAAACCCUGCUGAAUAUCUUUUAAUCUGUUGAGGAAAAAUAGAGAGAGAGAGAGAGAGAGAGAGAGAGAGAGAGAGAGAGAAAUUAUUAUUAAUUCCCUAUGAAAGCUGAAGAAAAUACACAAAACGAGAUUUCUGUUAAUCCCCCUUUAUGAGACAAAUUGACUUGUAUUCAAGAGAAAUAAGGUUCAAAUGCCUUCUCAGUCUUUCGUACCUUUUCAUGUUUUUUUCCAUUAUUGAUAAUCCGUUGAGCAUGAUUUUGUCUGAAUGCUUGUACUAAAGAUAAUUACUCAGCACAUAAACACUUUGCCACACUACAACAAUAUUAGUGGCUUGUUGGGCUCUUCCACAAAAGUAGUACAUCAUUGUUUGUAGAUGUCAACCGAGUGCACCUGCUGUUGGUUUUCUGACAAUGAUAUAAAUGUAGGUAGAAACGUUUUGUAUUAAUUUUAUCUGCACAACUUGCAAAAAGUGUUAUAUUCACAAAAGUUGUUCAAAGUGGCAUCACCUAAGUUCUGAAGUGGUGUGAGCUUGUUGCACAAUACUUUUCACAUGAUCCAAGAAUAAAAGAAUAGUCAAGUCAAAUUAGGCAAACAUGCUGGCCACAUGACCACUUAAAUGUUGAUAAAGGUUGAAACAUUGUGAACUAAGUACAUAAUAAAUCAGUUUAUUACAUCAUUCAGAUGAUUAUUCCUAGACUGUUGCUGUACGCUGGUGGUAGCAUUAUCUGACCAUCUAUUAUGCUUCAUAACUAUCAUUUUCGGACAAGAUUUCCUCUUAGAUUAGUGCAUUACUGAGCUUGCUAAUCUCGCAAAGAUCGAUCAUCAGCAUCAAUCAUCACUACAUUCGAGGUAAUGCCUAGCAUUAAGGUGUGUAUAGCAUUUUGUUCACAGCUUUAAGAGGCUGAACCAGGUAUUUAGUGAUGUUUUUCAAGUGCACGUAUGCAAGUAAGUGUACCAAGUUCAAGCAAGUAAUAUUGACUGUGAUCUCACAAAGUUUCGUUGGCCCGUUGUAGGGAAAUGGUGAUAGAAGAGAGCUUGUGUAGAGAAAUGGUGAUAGAAGAGAGCUUGUGUAGAGAAAUGGUGGUAGAAGAGAGCUUGUGUGGAGAAAUGGUGGUAGAAGAGAGCUUGUGUAGAGAAAUGGUGGUAGAAGAGAGCUUGUGUAGAGAAAUGGUGGUAGAAGAGAGCUUGUGUAGAGAAAUGGUGGUAGAAGAGAGCUUGUGUGGAGAAAUGGUGGUAGAAGAGAGCUUGUGUGGAGAAAUGGUGGUAGGAGAGAGCAGUUAAGUUUGAAAUGUGGAAAGAGUUAACAGCAACAUGGCAUUUGAUGGAAUCUGUUUACAAUUACAACUGUCGUACACAAGUAUAAUGCAUUGAACACACUGAAUUAGAGAUGAUUCCUGAUGACAGGAGCUAUAUUGUGGCAUUGAGUCCAGGAGACACCAGAAGUAUGGAGAACAUACCUUGAUUCAGGAGUGCUCUGUCACCAUGUGCAGUCUUUAUUACUUGAUCAAACCUGGUUGCAAGGUGUGUAAAUCUCACACGAUUGUGUUCCAGAUGUGACUGUGGCUGUACAAGUAUCUCCAUGUCUGGAUUUUUCCUCAAACAAUUAUACAUAAUUUGAGGACAGUGGUGUUGCUGAAGUUACAGGUCAUCUGCGGAUGUUUUAAGCCUGACUAUUCCAGAUUGGGUGCUCACCUGCAGGCAGUGGUGGGCAAAUAGCUGAUGCUUGGACAAUCAGUCAGUCAGGCAUGUGAGUACUUGUACCAAAUGGGACAGCAUUGCAAGAGCCUGACAUACGCAAAAAUUGGGAGCAUAUCAUCUGAUCAAAAGUAUAUGGACAUCUAUUAGUGUACAUUAAUAUGGGAUGUGUCUACCCUUCAAUUUUAUGAAGGCUUGAACUUUGUUGGGGACACUUUUAGUGAUGUCUCUGAAUGUCUGUGAAGGAAUGGCCGCCCACUCUUUCUCAAGAGUUGAUACCAGAGAAGGUAGGCAUGUGGGACACUGGGGUCUGGAGUGAAAUUGAUGAUGUAAUUCAUCACAGAGGUGUUACACCGGAUGCAGGUCAGGACUCUGAUUAGGCCAGUCCAUUUCAGGGAUGUUGUUAUCCUCAAAUCACUGGCUCACUGCUGCUUUAUGAAAGGGUGCAUUUGUCAUGCUGAUACAGUCAGUCAUUGUCUCUGAGCAGUUCCUCUACUCUAUGCAGUACACAGUGCUGUAAAAGGUGUUCAUAUUUUUCCACCUAAGGGGACCCCAUCCUGACUAUGAAAAACACCCCCAUACCAUAACACUACCUCCUCUGUACUUCACUUUUUGCACUACGCAUGAUGACAGGUAACAUCUUCCAGGCAUUCACUGAACCCAAACCUGUCCUUUUGAUCUGCCACGGUUAUAGUGUUGACUCCUCUCUCCAGAUGAUUCAUUUCCAGUCAUCCACUGUUCAGUGGCAUUGCUCUGUAUACCACCUUAAGUGUCACUCAGCAUUGGCUACUGAAUUGUGUGGGUUAUGAGGAGCUGCAUGACUAUUGUACCCCACUCUUUUUAACUCAUUACACACAGUCAUUUUGCUAGCUGGACUGCUGGUAGCACUUUGGAAGUCACAGAUGAUUCCUUCUACUGAUUUCAUGUGGAUACCUUUUGUACAGAAAAAAGAAAUCACCAUCACUGGACAUUAUCUGGGGGGGGGGGGGUGUUUUUUUUUUUUUUUUUUUUUUGCAUUUCCUCUUCACAGUCAACCCUGAUGAAUUUGUCACUCAGAUGACAUCUGACGACUAGUCCAUGUAUGAAGCUACUGACCACCUAUUCUCUAGUGUCAACACAAUACUUUCCACCUCAUUUUAUGCUAGUAGGUCUUCCUCUCAUAACUUUCACUUAUGGUGUAAAAUAGAUCUGAUGACUCCUUGACAUCAAGUUUUUGUUAUGGUACAUUCGUAAUACAGUAGCACCCAAAAAACCCAUUGCCAGCUUGACCUCAGAAGUGGAGUAUCUCAUGCAUUGGGCACCCACGAUUGAAUGAACUAAUCAUGUCUUUCAUGCAUUUGACCAUGAGGCAGUGCCUGGUCUGUAAUAUCUGUCACAUGACAUGCAAAACUAAUCCAUUCGCCAUAGACAUUCCACCAACACAUCAGUUAGCUCUCACUUUCCUUUUAAGAUAUUUCAUAAGUUUUUUUUGUUGAAAAUCUUAUUUAGUGCACCGAAAGCUCUCUGGCUAUUUUUAUUCUUUUACUGUCCAUAUUGCUGUUGCAUUCAUUUGCCCUAAACAUGAAAAAAUCAUCAACUGGUUCCAAGAUAUCAUUGUUAAUUUAUACUCUUUUCUUUUUUUAUACACUACAAGAGAAAAAAAAUGCACCACAAAAGAAUUAUCCACAUGGGAUGGAAACUGCUAGAUAUGAUGUACAUGUACAGACAAACAAAUGAUUACAGUUUCAGAAAAACUGGAUGAUUUAUUUAAGAGAAAGAGCCUCACAGACUGAGCAAGUCUACAACACAUUGACCCACCUAUGGUUCUGAUGCAAGCAGUCAUUCGGCUUGGCAUUAAUUGAUAGAUUGUUGGAUGUCCUCCUGAGGGUUAUCGUGUGAAAUGCCGUCCAAUCAGUGCGUUAUAUUGUCAGAAUCCCAAGCUGGUAGGAAGGCCCUGCCUGUAAUGCUCCAUAUGUUCUCAGUUGAGAACAGGUCAGGCCAACAUAGGAUUCGACAGGAAAGAAGACAUGCAAUAGAAACUCUCGCUGUGUGGGGGUGAGCUUCACCUUGCUGAAAUGCAAGCCCAGGAUGGCUUGCCAUGAAGGGCAACAAAAUGGAGCAUAGAAAAUCAUCAACGUGCAGUUGUGCUGUCAUGGUGCUAUGGAUAACAAUCAAAAGGAUCCUGCUUUGAAAAGAAAUGGCAUCCAAGACCAUCACUUCUGGCAAUUGGUCAUAUGGCAGGUGACAAUCAGACACAUCUUCAUUAAUUGUUGAGGCUCAUUUCGAAGUGGGAUGUGUCUACCCUGAAAGUUUGAGCACUAUACUUUAUUUCCAAUACAGCUCUUGAUUUUCCACAAAUAAUUUUGCAAUGUCUGCUGUAUAUACCCUACACCAUAGCAACUUUGUUGUGACAAAUAUAGUCCAAUGCCUUUGGAAGGUCAAGGACCAUAUAUCUAAUUCUUCUCUGCUCACUUGCUGCUUUGCCUCUUUCAGAAUAUUCAAAAUAGAAUUUCCUAGUCUGUCUUAUAACAAUUUGCACAGUUUUAUGUAAGACUGAUCUGACUGUAACUGAUCUAUAAUUUUCAGCAUUUGAUUGAUCCCUGCCUCUAUGAACAGAAAUGAUUUUUAACACUACUUAAACCAUAGUUAAACUUGUCAGUGAUCUCAUCCAUAAAUCUGAAACAGUUCUCCCCCCCCCCCCUCCCCCUCCACUGCAUAGGUUCCAUUCAGACAUUUAUUGUUUGAUUUUGUUUUGCCAUUUCUGAUCAACUUGUCAAUGACAGGAAUAAGCAUUAUGUCACAUUUGUGCUUUUUUGCAAUUUAAGAGUUAUCACUUACGGAUUUUUUCAUUUUCCAAGUGUAACAUGCAUAAAAAUGUUGCUAAUAAUCUCAACAUUGUACCUCCAUUUCUUUCCUUCCUUCUUCAGUAUUAAACUGAAGCACCAAAGAAACUAAUAUAGGCAUGCAUAUUAACAUACAGUGAUACGUAAACAGGCAGAAUACAGCACUGCAGUUGGCAACACCUAUAUAAGACGACAAGUUUCUGGCGCAGUUGUUACAUCAGUUACUGGUGCUACAAUAGCGGGUUAUCGAGAUUUAAGUGACUUUGAAUGUGGUGUUAUAGUUGGCACAUGAGUGAUGGGACACAGGAACUCCAGGGUAGCAAAACCAUUUCACAAGUGUACCAUGAAUGUCAGGAAUCUGGUAAAACAUCAAAUCUCUGACAUUGCUGCACCCAGAAAAAGAUCCAGCAAGAACGAAACCAACAGUGGCUGAGAAGAAUUGUUCAGCGUGACAAAAGUGCACCCCAUCUGCAAAUUGCUGCAGGUUUCAAUGCCAGGCCAUCAACAAGUGUCAGUGUGUGAACCAUUCAAUGAAACAGCAUCGAUGUGGGCUUUCAGAGCUGAAGGCCCACUUGUGUACCCUUGAUGACUGCAUGACACAGAGCUUUACGCCUCACCUGGGCUCGUCAACAUCGACAUUGGAAUUUUGGGAUGGGAAACUUGUUGCCUGGUCGGACAAGUCUUGUUUCAAAUUGUAUCGAAUGGGAGGACAUGUACGGGUAUGGAGACAACCUCAUGAAUCCAUGGACCCUGCAUGUCAGAAGAGGACUGUUGAAGCUGGUGGAGGAUCUGUAAUGGUAAGGGGCAUUUGCAAUUGGAUAGAUAUGGGAUCCCUGACGUGUUUAGAUAUGACUCCGACAGGUGACAUGUACGUAAACAUCCUGUCUGAUCACCUGCAUCCAUUCAUGUCCAUUGUGUAUUCCGAUGCACUUGGGCAAUUCCAACAGGACUGUGCGACACCCCACACAUCCAGAAUUGGUACAGAGUGGUUCCAGGAACACUCUUCUGAGUUUAAACACUUUUGCUGGCACCAAACUCCACAGGUAUGAACAUUAUUGAGUGUAUCUGGGAUGCCUUGCAACGUACUGUUCAGAAGAGAUCUCCACCCCCUCGUACUCUUAUGAAUUUGUGGACAGCCCUGCAGGAUUCAUGGUGUCAGUUCCCUCCAGCACUACUUCAGACUUUAGUAAAGUUCAUGCCAUGUCGUGUUGCGGCACUUGUGCGUACUUGCAGGCCACCUACAUGAUAUUAGGCAGGUGUAACAGUUUCUUUGGCUCUUUAGUGUAAAUGGCCAUGUCUCUUUUACAGGAGGCCAUAGAUUCUUUGAGAUAUUAUUUGAAACUUCAGCUAACUAGUGAAGAAUACAGGAAAAGAACAAGCUUUGACCACCUUUUGAAAAAAAAAUGAGUUAUGUAGUCUAUGAGUUGUAGAAGUCUGUGUUGUUUAAUAAUGUUAAUUGACCAGUUUGAUAAUAUGAAUACUCCACGAUCUAUAACCUGUUUUAAAUUAGGCAUGCAGGGAAAGAAUGUGCUAAUGUCUCUUGCUACUUGAAAUAAAUGUGCUUUGUUCAAUUUCUGUAUCAAGUUUUAGAUUUCUUGUGGGUUGCCAAUCAAUGUUAGAGCAAGUAACAGAGAAUUUUCCUUCAUUGUGAAUUGUUGUACUAGUAAAAACUGUUGCUAUAGUUUGAGACAUUCUGUUUAGUAAUUCAGCAGCUGUAAGCGAUUCAUUUCAGUUAUAAUUCUUUAUUAUUUACACCUAAUGACAAGUACUUCGUCUGAGGAUAAAAGAUGGAGAUCUUCAGAUUCUAACUAUGUUAGAAAAGGGAAAUAAGAGAAGACAGCAACUGUAAGUUGGUGUUUGAUGAAGUAAGUGCUGAACAAGAUCCAAUAUUAUAAGAAAAUUUAAUUAUUUGGAAGACUGGAAUGAAUGAUCGUUGCAUCUGACAGACCUCAUUACACUACCUCUAGUUUGUAGAAGGCAAUCAAGACAGAAUGAUGAUGCACAGCUUUGAGGGUGUAGUUUGAACUACAGAGUGAGAACAAAAUGUGAUGCCAUUACAUAUAAAGUUCCUAUGGAGAAAAGCCUUCAUGACAGUGUUUGGAAUAGCAAGGUGGUGAUUAAUGACAGUUAAAAGAUUAAUGAAGUUGUGUGUGUCUCCUCGUGAUGGAAGGGGUAAGCAUGGAAAUAGGCCAUAGAAAGUUAAGGAAGAAGGAGAAAAGGCAGUUUAUAAUCAUACUGAUUCAUUUCAGCGUAGAUUAAGUCAUUGCAGUAAUGACAAAAUCAGGAUAUUUUAUCUCCCAAAGGAACGUUCAUAUAUAUACGUUACAGGAAAAGUACCCAAAUUGUGACAUUUCAUGUCACAUGUGUAGAACAAUAAUCAGCAUACCAUUCAAUGUAGUGCACACUCUCUGUGAUAAGUGCUGACUGCAGGAGUAUCUGAAAAUUUAGGUAAUGAUAUGAAGCAACAAGCCUGGAAAGAAAUUAAUAAGAUCACCAUUGAUCACAAGAUUCAUAAAGUCAAAACUGAAACAUUUUAUUCCAGAAAGAGAAAUACAUGUUUAAGAAGGAGAAAUUUGUACUUACCAAGUACCACAAUAAUUAUCUCUAUUACAAAAGGCAGUUGUUUACUCUGUAAACAUUCAUCAGCUGUCAAAUGGAAUUCUGUUGUUCUGCACCUUUUUUUGAAAUCUCUGUGCGACAAAAUUGUUGGACAAGAAAGUCAAACACAUUUAUUUUUUUAUGAUUCACAUUCAGGCCAGAAUAAGAAUUACACUGUUCCAAGUUAUCUUAAUUAUCCUGUGAGUGAACUAAAACCUCUGAAGACAGUGGAAGUAACUUUUCCUAUUGGAGGAUACUUCCGUGGAGUGUGGUAAGAAUAUAAUUUAUAAUAUAAAAGCAGCUGUAGAAGUACCAAUGGGUUAGGUGCGAAUAGUGGUUAAAGCUCAAUGGAGACCUAAACCUUUUGAUGUUGUGAUAGCCAAUCAAGAUUUUAUAAAAAAUUGUGAAUCAUUUCUGCAAAAGAAAUAUUUGAGAAAGUGCUAAAAAGACCUUUCGGUGGGGUAGUAAAAAAAAAACUGCUCCGCCUCAUUCAACACCGAGAAACUUAUAAUGGAGCUUUGAUUUCAUUGGUGGUGAGAGUUUCACAGCAACUUCAAGAUCAGCAGCCUGGAGAAUACAUCUGCUGCUUACUAAGGCCCUCUGGCAAUAUCAAAAGAAGAAAAGUAUCAAGACCCCCCAUGUUUUGAAGGAGUGUUGUUUUCAAGAAGCUAAUGUGUUUUAC
This is an RNA transcript of Schistocerca gregaria, 13140 nucleotides long. It is a transcript of the gene named guanine nucleotide-binding protein subunit beta-5, with no coding region annotated. NCBI's taxonomy places the organism in Eukaryota, Metazoa, Arthropoda, Insecta, Orthoptera, Acrididae. The transcript is spliced from 2 exons. The record is from RefSeq and is a predicted model, not a curated record.